RNAcentral lists this ribosomal RNA (279 nucleotides) under uncultured bacterium. RNAcentral describes it as "partial 16S ribosomal RNA". It matches the Rfam family "Bacterial small subunit ribosomal RNA", at positions 506 to 784 of the family's 1533-position model. The record is from RNAcentral.
UGCCAGCAGCCGCGGUAAUACGGAGGGGGCAAGCGUUGUUCGGAAUUACUGGGCGUAAAGCGCACGUAGGCGGACUGAUCAGUUGGGGGUGAAAUCCCGAGGCUUAACCUCGGAACUGCCUUCAAUACUGUCAGUCUUGAGAUCGGAAGAGGUGAGUGGAAUUCCUAGUGUAGAGGUGAAAUUCGUAGAUAUUAGGAAGAACACCAGUGGCGAAGGCGGCUCACUGGUCCGAUACUGACGCUGAGGUGCGAAAGCGUGGGGAGCGAACAGGAUUAGAUA